This 459-nucleotide ribosomal RNA is filed under the name uncultured bacterium. Its description in RNAcentral is "SSU rRNA". It matches the Rfam family "Bacterial small subunit ribosomal RNA", at positions 26 to 518 of the family's 1533-position model. The record is from RNAcentral.
AGGACGAACGCUGGCGGCGUGCUUAACACAUGCAAGUCGAACGAGGCGCUUGCGCCUAGUGGCGAACGGGUGAGUAACACGUGAGCAACCUGCCCUUGGCUCUGGGAUAGCCUCCGGAAACGGGGAUUAAUACCGGACAUGACCUUCUCCUGCAUGGGGGAGGGUGGAAAGUUUUUCGGCCAGGGAGGGCUCGCGGCCUAUCAGCUUGUUGGGGGGUAACGCCCACCAAGGCGACGACGGGUAGCCGGCCUGAGAGGGCGACCGGCCACACUGGGACUGAGACACGGCCCAGACUCCUACGGGAGGCAGCAGUGGGGAAUAUUGCACAAUGGGGGAAACCCUGAUGCAGCGACGCCGCGUGCGGGAUGAAGGCCUUCGGGUUGUAAACCGCUUUCAGCAGGGGCGAAUUCAGACGGUACCUGCAGAAGAAGCGCCGGCUAACUACGCGCCAGCAGCCGC